UGAAGUAGUCAUCUUAAGGAGUGGAUGAAUAAAUGAACUAGGAAUAUAUAGUACAAUUGGGGUGUGUAAAUUUAUAAUAAUGAUGUGAUAUGAUAUAUAGGAUAAUAUAUAAUAUAAGGUAAAAUAUAUCUUAUGAUUUCCUGGCCUAUAACGGAAUACUACAGACUGGGUCAUUUAUAAAAAACAAACGUUUAUGUGGCUCACAGUUCUGGAGGCUGGGAAGUCCAAGGGCAUGGCACUGGCAUCCAGCAAGGGUCAUCCCAUGGCAGAAGUAUGGAAGGCAGAAGUAAGUCCAUGAGUCAGAGAGAAACAUUGAUCUGAACUAAUCCUUUUUAUCAAGAACACACUCCUUCAAUAACUAACCUAUUCCUGUGAUAACAGCAGUAAUCUCUUCAAGAGGGUAGAGCCCUCAUGGCCUAAUCACCUCUUAAAUGCCCCACCUCUUAAUACUGUUACAAUGACAAUUAAAUUUCAGCAUG
This 479-nucleotide long non-coding RNA is filed under the name Homo sapiens (human). Its description in RNAcentral is "non-protein coding lnc-RWDD3-5:18". The record is from RNAcentral. Lineage: Eukaryota; Metazoa; Chordata; Mammalia; Primates; Hominidae.